GAAGGUAUAGCCCAAUGGUAGAGUACAUGCUUGGCAUGCACGAAGUCCUGAGUUCAAUCCCCAGUACUUCCA
This 72-nucleotide transfer RNA is filed under the name Camelus bactrianus (Bactrian camel). It matches the Rfam family "tRNA". From Rfam's summary of the family: Transfer RNA (tRNA) molecules are approximately 80 nucleotides in length. The record is from Rfam by way of RNAcentral. Lineage: Eukaryota; Metazoa; Chordata; Mammalia; Artiodactyla; Camelidae. RNAcentral also lists the same sequence under 2 other names.